UACGGAGGGUGCAAGCGUUAUCCGGAUUCACUGGGUUUAAAGGGUGCGUAGGUGGGUUGGUAAGUCAGUGGUGAAAUCUCCGAGCUUAACUUGGAAACUGCCAUUGAUACUAUCAGUCUUGAAUAUUGUGGAGGUCAGCGGAAUAUGUCAUGUAGCGGUGAAAUGCUUAGAUAUGACAUAGAACACCAAUUGCGAAGGCAGCUGGCUACGCAUAUAUUGACACUGAGGCACGAAAGCGUGGGAUCAAACAGG
RNAcentral lists this ribosomal RNA (252 nucleotides) under uncultured bacterium. RNAcentral's name for it is "partial 16S ribosomal RNA". It matches the Rfam family "Bacterial small subunit ribosomal RNA", at positions 524 to 776 of the family's 1533-position model. The record is from RNAcentral.